Molecule: ribosomal RNA, 605 nt
Filed under: uncultured delta proteobacterium
Lineage: Bacteria; Deltaproteobacteria
Description: bacterial SSU rRNA
Rfam family: Bacterial small subunit ribosomal RNA
Source: RNAcentral
AGCCGCAGUCGACGAUUCCUACGGGAGGCAGCAGUGAGGAAUAUUGGGCAAUGGGCGAAAGCCUGACCCAGCCACGCCGCGUGAGUGAUGAAGGCCUUCGGGUCGUAAAGCUCUGUGGGGAGGGACGAAAAAUCUCCAUUCGAAUAGGAUGGAGACCUGACGGUACCUCCUUAGCAAGCACCGGCUAACUCUGUGCCAGCAGCCGCGGUAAUACAGAGGGUGCGAACGUUGCUCGGAUUUACUGGGCGUAAAGCGCGUGUAGGCGGACUCGCAAGUCGGUUGUGAAAUCCCUGGGCUUAACCUAGGAACUGCAUCCGAAACUGCUUGUCUUGAGUAAUGGAGAGGGUGGCGGAAUUCCCGGUGUAGAGGUGAAAUUCGUAGAUAUCGGGAGGAACAUCAGUGGCGAAGGCGGCCACCUGGACAUUUACUGACGCUGAGACGCGAAAGCGUGGGGAGCAAACAGGAUUAGAUACCCUGGUAGUCCACGCCGUAAACGAUGAGCAUUAGGUGCAGCGGAUAUUGACCUCUGCUGUGCCGUAGCUAACGCGUUAAAUGCUCCGCCUGGGGAGUACGGCCGCAAGGCUAAAACUCAAAUGAAUUGACGG